Molecule: long non-coding RNA, 618 nt
Filed under: Medicago truncatula (barrel medic)
Lineage: Eukaryota; Viridiplantae; Streptophyta; Magnoliopsida; Fabales; Fabaceae
Description: long non-coding RNA (MTRU_LNC005276)
Source: RNAcentral
ACCUUCACUGCUACAGAUUUCCAAUGCGCGUUCGCUGGUUCCGCAGUCAUCCUUCUGCUUUUGUCUUCUCUAUAAUAUCUUCUUCUCUUGCACCCUCGUUUAUCUCUUUAACAUUACAAAGUGCAAGACAUUUAUGGUUGUUGAGUGGUGUAAAUGUUGACUUAGCAUCACCAUAUCCUGAAUCCUCCUCUGUUAUAAAUUAAAAAAAAAAAAUCAAAAGUUUAAACCAAUAAGCCAUAUCAAUAGCCUAGAAAAUGAAGAAGAUAAAUGGUUCAUAGUUUGUAUAAACUGUUUAUUGAUACCCUACUGCAGUUAUGUCCAUUAAAAAAUAUGAGAAAAAGUUUGCAGAGAUCCAUAAUUUCAAACACCCUUUCAUGUUCUAAACUAUUUACCUAUUUUCAUAUCUCUUGUUUGUAUCACACAUAUACCCAUCACCCAUAAUCAACAAAGCAUAAAGGAAAAACUACACACAAUAUGUUAAAAUGAGAAGCAUAAACGAAAAACAUAACAAAAAAUUGCAUUAAUCAAAAUGAGAAGCCAAUUGAAUCAGCAUAAAAUUAAAAUGAUCAAUUAAAAGAACAAACCAGAAAUUUCUAGGGAAAAGAUUGAGACUUUGAG